GUCGGGCCGGCGGGCAUGCCCGGGCCUGGGGCGCCCGGUCCGGCUGGGGCGUUCAAUCCGUUCGGCCCGGCG
This 72-nucleotide transfer RNA is filed under the name Asanoa ferruginea. RNAcentral describes it as "tRNA-Pro". Lineage: Bacteria; Bacillati; Actinomycetota; Actinomycetes; Micromonosporales; Micromonosporaceae. The record is from RNAcentral.